Molecule: transfer RNA, 72 nt
Organism: Ovis aries (sheep)
Lineage: Eukaryota; Metazoa; Chordata; Mammalia; Artiodactyla; Bovidae
Rfam family: tRNA
About the family: Transfer RNA (tRNA) molecules are approximately 80 nucleotides in length. Their secondary structure includes four short double-helical elements and three loops (D, anti-codon, and T loops). Further hydrogen bonds mediate the characteristic L-shaped molecular structure. tRNAs have two regions of fundamental functional importance: the anti-codon, which is responsible for specific mRNA codon recognition, and the 3' end, to which the tRNAs corresponding amino acid is attached (by aminoacyl-tRNA synthetases). tRNAs cope with the degeneracy of the genetic code in two manners: having more than one tRNA (with a specific anti-codon) for a particular amino acid; and 'wobble' base-pairing, i.e. permitting non-standard base-pairing at the 3rd anti-codon position.
Source: Rfam
UCCCUGGUGGCUCAGAUGAUGAAGCAUCUGCCUACAAUGCAGGAGACCCGGGUUCAAUUCUUGGGUUGGGAA